RNAcentral lists this ribosomal RNA (1495 nucleotides) under uncultured bacterium. RNAcentral describes it as "partial 16S ribosomal RNA". It matches the Rfam family "Bacterial small subunit ribosomal RNA". The record is from RNAcentral.
AGAGUUUGAUCAUGGCUCAGGAUGAACGCACAAGACGCACAUAAUACAUGCAAGUUGAAUGGUGUUAAAACUUUAGGUUUUUUUUACCAUAGCGAACGGGUGAGUAAUACAUAAAAGUCAAAGUUUAGAUUAGAACUAAUAAAAAGAAAUUUUUGGUAAUGUCUAAUUAACGCAUUUAAUAGUGUUUUACAAAGGAUUUUCUAAUAUUAAAUCCGUCUAUACUUGAAUUUAUGUCUGAUUAGCUAGUUGGUAAAGUAUAAGCUUACCAAGGCGAUGAUCAGUAGCUGUCCUGAGAGGGUGGUCAGCCACAUUGGGAUUGAGAUAAGGCCCAAACUCCUACGGGAGGCAGCAGUAGGGAAUUUUCUGCAAUGAGCGUAAGCUUGACAGAGUGACGUCAGGUGGAGGAUGAAAGCCAUUUUUAUGGUUGUAAACUUCUUUUGCCUUAUUUUAUAAAUACUGAUAAUAAGGUUUCAAAAAGCAUCGGCUAACUUCGUGCCAGCAGCCGCGGUAAUACGAGGGAUGCAAGCGUUAUCCGAAAUUACUGGGCGUAAAGCGUCUGUAGGUUGUUUUAUGUGUCUAUAGUUAAAUUAUUUCUUUUAAGGGGAUAGGAUCUAUAGAAACUAUAAAACUAGAGUACAUUAGAGGUAAAAGGAAUUUCUUGAGGAGUGGUGAAAUACGAAGAUACAAGAAAGAAGGCUGUAGGCGAAGGCAUUUUACUGGGUUGUUAAAAUUUUAUACUGACACUAAAGACGAAAGUUAAGGGAGCGAAUGGGAUUAGAUACCCCAGUAGUCUUAACUGUAAACGAUGGAUACUCGGUACUGAUAAAAACAGUGCCCUAGCUAACGCGUUAAGUAUCCCGCCUGAGGAGUACGCUCGCAAGAGUGAAACUCAAAGGAAUUGACGGGGGCUCGCACAAGCGGUGGAGCAUGUGGUUUAAUUCGAUGCAACACGAAAAACCUUACCAGAACUUGACUUGGUGUUUUUUAGAAUAAUUCUAAUAGAUUUUUCCCUUAAACACACAUAGGUGGUGCAUGGCUGUCGUCAGCUCGUGUCGUGAGAUGUUGGGUUAAGUCCCGCAACGAGCGCAACCCUUUUUCAAAGUUUUAAUAAUAUUUACUUUGAAUAUUUUUUAUUCUUAAUAUGGAAGCAAAGGUUUCAAAAGAAUAAUAGGAAGUGAGGAUGACGUCAAGUCAUCAUGCCCUUUAUGUUCUGGGCUACACACGUGCUACAAUGGAUAAUACAAUAGGAAAUUAUUUUAUCGCGAGAAAAGAUUAAACCUGAAAAUUAUCCUUAGUUCGGAUCGUAAACUGCAACUCGUUUACGUGAAGUUGGAAUCGCUAGUAAUCGCCGGUCAGAUAUACGGCGGUGAAUAUGUUCUCGAGCCUUGUACACACUGCCCGUCACGCCAUGGAAGUUAAUUUCCCCCGAAUCCGUUUAAGUAAACGACUAAGGGAAAAUUGAUAACUGGGGUGAAGUCGUAACAAGGUAACCGUA